RNAcentral lists this ribosomal RNA (370 nucleotides) under uncultured bacterium. Its description in RNAcentral is "bacterial SSU rRNA". It matches the Rfam family "Bacterial small subunit ribosomal RNA", at positions 527 to 896 of the family's 1533-position model. The record is from RNAcentral.
GUAGGGGGCAAGCGUUGUCCGGAUUUAUUGGGCGUAAAGAGCGUGUAGGCGGCCGCACAGGUCCGUUGUGAAAACUGGAGGCUUAACCUUCAGACGUCGAUGGAAACCGUGCGGCUAGAGUCCUGAAGAGGAGAAUGGAAUUCCUGGUGUAGCGGUGAAAUGCGCAGAUAUCAGGAAGAACACCCGUGGCUAAGGCGGUUCUCUAGUACGGUACUGACGCUGAGACGCGAAAGCGUGGGGAGCGAACAGGAUUAGAUACCCUGGUAGUCCACGCCGUAAACGAUGGGUGCUAGUGUGGGGGGUGUCGACUCCCCCCGUGCCGAAGCUAACGCAUUAAGCACCCCGCCUGGGGAGUACGGCCGCAAGGCUA